This 253-nucleotide ribosomal RNA is filed under the name uncultured bacterium. RNAcentral describes it as "partial 16S ribosomal RNA". It matches the Rfam family "Bacterial small subunit ribosomal RNA", at positions 524 to 776 of the family's 1533-position model. The record is from RNAcentral.
UACGGAGGAUCCAAGCGUUGUUCGGAAUCAUUGGGCGUAAAGCGGGUGUAGGUGGCUAUGUAAGUCGAGUGUGAAAGCCUGGGGCUCAACCCCAGAAGUGCAUUCGAUACUGCGUAGCUUGAGUGGUAGAGAGGAUAGUAGAAUUGUUGGUGUAGUGGUGAAAUACGUAGAUAUCAACAGGAAUACCGGUGGCGAAGGCGGCUAUCUGGCUACACACUGACACUCAGACCCGAAAGUGCGGGGAUCAAACAGG